RNAcentral lists this ribosomal RNA (539 nucleotides) under Yunzhangomyces scirpi. RNAcentral describes it as "LSU rRNA". It matches the Rfam family "Eukaryotic large subunit ribosomal RNA", at positions 80 to 643 of the family's 3401-position model. The record is from RNAcentral. Lineage: Eukaryota; Fungi; Basidiomycota; Exobasidiomycetes; Exobasidiales; Brachybasidiaceae.
CUAGUAACGGCGAGUGAAGCGGGAUGAGCUCAAAUUUGAAAGCUGGCCUUUGGUCCGCAUUGUAAUCUCGAGAUGUGUUUUCCGUGCUAGACCGUGGACAAGUUCCUUGGAAUUGGAUGUCAUAGAGGGUGAGAACCCCGUACAUGCCGCGGAUGCCUAGUGCUUUGUGAUACACGUUCGAAGAGUCGAGUUGUUUGGGAAUGCAGCUCAAAGUGGGUGGUAAAUUCCAUCUAAAGCUAAAUAUUGGGGAGAGACCGAUAGCAAACAAGUACCGUGAGGGAAAGAUGAAAAGCACUUUGGAAAGAGAGUUAAACAGUACGUGAAAUUGUCAAAAGGGAAGCGCUUCAAGUUAGAUGUGUGUAGUGGUGCUCAGCCGCAAGGCGUUUUCAUUGCUACACAGGCCAACAUCGGUUGUAGGGGGUGGAGAAUAGGCGGAGGAAUGUGGCACCUCCGGGUGCGUUAUAGCCUCUGCCCGGAUACAUCCCCCACGACCGAGGUCAGCAGCGUUCGCGCUUAGGAUGCUGGCGUAAUGGCUUGAG